Helicoverpa armigera (cotton bollworm) is the source of this 808-nucleotide long non-coding RNA. RefSeq lists it as uncharacterized. Lineage: Eukaryota; Metazoa; Arthropoda; Insecta; Lepidoptera; Noctuidae. The record is from RefSeq and is a predicted model, not a curated record. The transcript has 2 exons.
ACUCUUAUAAAUUAUAGUUCGGCCGCUCAGAGAAUGCGUUUCUGACACAUCGCGAUUGAACUGACGACGUAACUUUGUAAUGGCGUUGCAGUACGAUAAAAAUAUUUUUGCUGGUUGUUUAUCGUUUUAACAAUUGUUGAGCAUUAAAACAACAUUAUUAUAUCAAUAAUAAUCAAUGAAUGUUGUAAUUUUGUGCCAAAUUGAGUGUCAAAUAACUUGGUAAACAAUAUUUUUCUAAAUCUAUACUGCGCUUAUUAAGGUUAUGUCAGCGCUUUAUAUUUGUAGUGCUGUGCUAAAAAUAACAGGCAAGUAUCGUAAUCUGUUCUGGUUGAUGGUUCUUAUACAGUUAUACUUAUAAUAUAAAAUAAUACGUUUUGUUUUUCUUUUUAAGAAUUUGAAAAUAAUGGACUAUAGGAUAACUUUUAUGAAAUAUAAAAAUAAAACUAUGAUCAAACUGAACGCGCGAAAGAAAGUAGCAUUUUUAUAUUUAGGUUGAAAAUGGUAACCCCAAAUGGCAUCAUGGGCCGUCAUUUUGUGACGCUAAAUAGUCAUUUGUUGUCGUUUCGUGCGCUAAGACUAAACCUGAUUUUGGAAGAUUUUGACCGAGAUAUCAGGAUUGAUUCUGUUAUUGAUAAUACCUAAUAUACACGUAGGCGAAGAUGAUGAUGAAGACACCACCUCCUCAAGCGAAUCGGAGUCUGAUUAACAUUCUGUACGCACAUUCAAUUCAAUGUACUUACUUUAUUGCAUAGAAAUACAGAUUGUAACUUUGUAACAAAGAAUAAAUAAAACGAUUUUAUUAUAUGAA